GAGCGGGCCCUUCGGGGUCAGCGGCAGACGGGUGAGUAACACGUGGGAACGUGCCCUUCGGUUCGGAAUAACUCAGGGAAACUUGAGCUAAUACCGGAUACGCCCUUUGGGGGAAAGGUUUACUGCCAAAGGAUCGGCCCGCGUCUGAUUAGCUAGUUGGUGGGGUAAUGGCCUACCAAGGCGACGAUCAGUAGCUGGUCUGAGAGGAUGAUCAGCCACACUGGGACUGAGACACGGCCCAGACUCCUACGGGAGGCAGCAGUGGGGAAUUUUGCGCAAUGGGGGAAACCCUGACGCAGCAACGCCGCGUGGAGGAUGACAUAUCUUGGUAUGUAAACUCCUUUCGAUAGGGAAGAUUAUGACGGUACCUAUAGAAGAAGCCCCGGCUAACUUCGUGCCAGCAGCCGCGGUAAU
RNAcentral lists this ribosomal RNA (414 nucleotides) under uncultured bacterium. Its description in RNAcentral is "bacterial SSU rRNA". It matches the Rfam family "Bacterial small subunit ribosomal RNA", at positions 64 to 524 of the family's 1533-position model. The record is from RNAcentral.